CGGACGGGUGAGUAAUACAUAGGAAUCUAUCCAGUAGCUGGGGAUAACGUGGGGAAACUCACGCUAAUACCGAAUACGCACUACGGUGGAAAGAGGGGGAUCUUCGGACCUCUCACUAUCGGGUGAGCCUAUGCCGGAUUAGCUAGUUGGUGGGGUAAAAGCCUACCAAGGCGACGAUCCGUAGCUGGUCUGAGAGGACGAUCAGCCACACUGGGACUGAGACACGGCCCAG
RNAcentral lists this ribosomal RNA (232 nucleotides) under uncultured bacterium. Its description in RNAcentral is "partial 16S ribosomal RNA". It matches the Rfam family "Bacterial small subunit ribosomal RNA", at positions 99 to 334 of the family's 1533-position model. The record is from RNAcentral.